UUUUACUUAACAUUAAGAGUAAGAAUAAUACUUCCGAUUUGAAAUCUGAGUUUUUUAUCACAGUUUUUUAUGAGAUUUUUAUUUUUAGCCAUUUAUUUUGAGGUUAUUCGUUCACUAGGUAAACGAAAUCAAAAAAUUAUAAAAUUUGGUUUAUAGAUAGUUCCAAUAGCGUAGAUCAUGUCUAACGAAAUCGAUCGCUGAAUCGGAUGUCCCAUCAUUAAAAACAACCUACAAGCACGGAGGUCUCCGUACUUUCGAAAAUAUAUACAGGAGUCUAGCACAAUGGCUCUGCUAUAUAUAUAUAUAAUAAGACUACUGCGCUAUUAGGAGCACAACAGUCUUUGUGCUCCUAAGUNAUAGAGAGAGAGAGAGAGAGAGAGAGAGAGAGAGAGAGAGAGAGAGAGAGUGUUCCGUAUUUUCGAAAGUACGUAUGCCUUCAUACUUAUAAGUUAUUUUCGAUAAUAGGACAUCCGAUUCGACGAUCGACUCCAUUAGACAUAAUCUAUGCUAUUGAAAUUAUUUAGACAUCAAAUCUCAUAAUUUUUCGACAUCAUUUAUCAAGCAAUCACAGAGUCUCCAAAAUGGCUAUUUUAACGGCCGAUGUGGCGCAUUUUUUGUUCAACUGUGUAGAAAUAUCUAAAUUAUAUAAAAAUUUAAUAAAAAAUUUUACUUAACAUCAAGAGUAAGAAUAAUACUUCCGAUUUGAAAUUUGAGUCCUUUAUCACAGUUUUUUAUGAGAUUUUUAUUUUUAGCCAUUUAUUUUGAGGUUAUUCGUUCACUAGGUAAACGAAAUCAAAAAAUUAUGAAAUUUGGUUUAUAGAUAGUUCCAAUAGCGUAAUCAUGUCUAACGAAAUCGAUCGCUGAAUCGGAUGUCCCAUCAUUAAAAACAACCUACAAGCACGGAGGUCUCCGUACUUUCGAAAAUAUAUACAGGAGUCUAG
Molecule: long non-coding RNA, 941 nt
Filed under: Ananas comosus (pineapple)
Lineage: Eukaryota; Viridiplantae; Streptophyta; Magnoliopsida; Poales; Bromeliaceae
Description: long non-coding RNA (ACOM_LNC004528)
Source: RNAcentral